This 411-nucleotide ribosomal RNA is filed under the name bacterium enrichment culture clone ALO1_GLFRUDD03F61HA. RNAcentral describes it as "bacterial SSU rRNA". It matches the Rfam family "Bacterial small subunit ribosomal RNA", at positions 9 to 418 of the family's 1533-position model. The record is from RNAcentral.
GAGUUUGAUCUUGGCUCAGUAUUGAACGCUGGCGGCAUGCCUUACACAUGCAAGUCGAACGGCAGCACGGGAGCUUGCUCCUGGUGGCGAGUGGCGAACGGGUGAGUAAUGCAUCGGAACGUAUCCUGGAGUGGGGGAUAACGUAGCGAAAGUUACGCUAAUACCGCAUAUUCUGUGAGCAGGAAAGCGGGGGACCUUCGGGCCUCGCGCUCUUGGAGCGGCCGAUGUCGGAUUAGCUAGUUGGUGAGGUAAAGGCUCACCAAGGCGACGAUCCGUAGCAGGUCUGAGAGGAUGAUCUGCCACACUGGAACUGAGACACGGUCCAGACUCCUACGGGAGGCAGCAGUGGGGAAUUUUGGACAAUGGGGGCAACCCGUGAUCCAGCCAUGCCGCGUGAGUGAAGAAGGCCUC